Molecule: long non-coding RNA, 3893 nt
Organism: Phyllostomus hastatus (greater spear-nosed bat)
Lineage: Eukaryota; Metazoa; Chordata; Mammalia; Chiroptera; Phyllostomidae
Exons: 3
Source: RefSeq, a predicted model, not a curated record
ACCCCCAAGUCCGCAGGCAAUGGCAGCAGAGCGAGACUCGAAGCAGGAGCAAGGUUUAGGCAGUUGGAGAUGGGAGGAAAAGCUCAAGGAAAAUCAUGCAAAUGACACCGAAAGCCGGAAAGCACGCUGAAUUUGGGGAAGUACAAAUGAGUAGUUCAAUCUAUAGAAUGUGGACCUUGAGCUUGAGGAGGAUGUCAUUGGAAACGUUGGUUACAAACCCAAGGCUCCGCCUGACACACUGCAUUUGGGGAUGAUGCUCAUUUCAUCAGAAAUGACCUGGUCCUUUUGGGGGACUAAGGCUGACCGUCUGGAGCCAUUGGGAAACAGGUACCAGCCCCAUUGGGAGAACUGGCCCGGUACCUGGCUUACAAAGUUCUCAGCCUUACAGGUAGCUGAUGGCUGUGCAAACUGUCUGGUCUGAUGAGGUUUCAUGGGCUACCUUCUGCCACCCUGGUGGGAAGACCCGUUUCAUUACCUGCCUUUACACCGGACUGGAUCUGUUGCCUCGUCCAAUGGUCGAGCCUUACCAAAUUCUCAAGUCUUCCAGUCCAACUACAAUCCUUCAAGGUGAUGUUUCAUAUUUUUCUGCCACUCCCCUGACUCAGCAUCACCAAGAACUACAACUUGAGUGCUCAGAUCCCUUUCAGGCUUGAGGUUGCUUUGCAGGUGGCCUUUCCCUCAGAAUCCGAAGAAGCCCUGUGAGCUGAAGCCUGGUGACUCGGCAUUGACCUUGAAGGAAUGAGCCCUGCAGCAGACCAGGCACAGGGUUGGAAUUCUCCCUGGGGAAGCUGCUGCUGGACCACUAAGGAAGUCCAACAAGAUGGGUCACACACGCCCUUGGAUGAGAGGUAGCCAAGACUAUGCAUGGCAUCACCAAGAACAGAGACAUCUUAGUUUCAAGGAACUCAAGGAGGUUCUACAAGUAUAAAUUAUAUUGAGCUUCAAAGACUUAGUACCACAACAAACAAACUAAUAAUCAUAAAGCAAGGAACCCAUGAAGUGGGGCAACGCAGUUUUCCACUGCUGACCUCUGGUGUCCGCUGGACUGGUUCAUUCAAGGUUCCACUCCUGGCUCUUUACUUUAAUACAACUUUUGUACUAUUACUUCCCUAUGUUAGGCAUCCUUCCUUUAAGGGCCCUCUCUGGGACCCCAAAACAACCGAGCUUUGCCACCUCCUGUCAACAGGUGGGUCACCAGUUUUACAGGAGCAACACCGGCAAGAACCCUGGAGAGACCGUCUCUUGGGCCCUGCGUCACCCUGCUGGGCGAUUUCUGCUCACCUCUGAGCUGUUCAGCGACAAACAACGGGAGGGGGGGGAUGAUGAGGUUGAACUUGAUGGGAGCCCUGGGCAACCUCAGCGUGAUGGUUAAGCCUCCCCACCCUUCUGUGCUCAGAAAUGACAAACCAGCUAACCACAGAGGAACACGCUCUCCUCAGAGGUUCUGCAAGAAACCUCCUCUCCAUCCUUCCUUGUACUACCUGUAAGACUCUAAGACGACUCCCUCAUCUAUCUGCUUCUAUAAAACCACAGUCUUCCUUCUUUUUCUUUGAGAUGUUCCUCCUUCAUGAAUGCUCUCCUUAUUGUAACAGCCUGCAUAAAACCAUCUCCUUCAUUAUCUGGAGAAAAUUGCCUGUCCCAGCUCCAGAGACGACUUCCCUUGGAUGGCAGCCAGCAAGUCACCCCGACGGUCCUGUGGGUUCGCGUGAAUAUGCAGCAGAGUUAGAUCCUGCUUUCCCUUCCCGGCAGGUGUCUCCCGUCUUGGUGGCCCCAGUCCUGAUUCUGGGAUGUCCUGUGUUAGCUGGAGCUCCCAGUUUUCCUUCGUUACAAAGACAGCAGCCCCAGUGGGUGUGGUCCACAAGUUGCUGGCUCCCUAGAGUAAGUCUCCUCUAGACGGUCCUGGAUGGAAGACCCGAGCUUGCACAGAUGAAGAUGCCCAUCACGCUGUGCUUCUGGCAUGAUCCGGUGGAGGACACCUAUCUCCAGAGUGUUUGUUGGGGGGAAUAGGUAAGGCUCUAUGUCCAAGUAUCCAUGUAAGCCUGAGACCAAGGGUUUGCAGUGAGGUGGGGCCGGGAGCAGUGGGGCUUCCAGCAGGGGUUACAGAGAGCAGGGGUCACAGGGGAGGAGCUUGUGGGUAUGCUCCUGGCAGCAGUGGGGCCCCCCAAUAGCAGGGAUUCCUCUGUGCUGCCUCCCUUCUGUCCGAAUGGGUGUGGGCCAGAGUUCAGAAGGCUCUUUGACACCCUAUAAUCUGCCACAAAACAGAUCAUAGUUACCUGCCAUUCUACAGGUAGUUAGAUCCUCUCUGCCAUUAGGUGGGAGGGCUGGGUCUUGGUUCCGGGUGAAUGAUGUCACUCUGAGGUGCCCGGAGGGGAUAGCUUCAAGGGAGCAUAGGUCAAGCUGAGGAAGGCGCUGUGGUUCUCUUGGGUGGUCAGGCCCUCGGCUGGUGGGAGACCGUGCGUGUGUGUUGCGUACAGGUGAGUGGGCGUGUGUGAGCAUGGAUGUGUAUACAUGUGAAGGAGGCACAGCGGGAGUCAGCCUGCAACGCUUGUUUAGAAAGCCCCGGUCCACCCCAGACAGCGCACGCCUGCUGGACUGGUCGGGGGGCAAGCGGACACAGAGCUCUAUCGCUCUGGCAUCUUCCUGCCAGCUCAUUCCUCGCCCCCAGACUGGGUCGGGCCUGCCAGGCGGGACAGGCUUCAGCGCAGGCUCACCUGGUCUCUUCCUGAAGGGCAACCCGUGACCGCUGAGGGCAGGGUAAGCGCUUGCUUGCCUUCUGGAAGAAGAAGGACUCAGGGGUCAGGCCCAUCCAGGGAACGAGAUGAGGCAGCAGGACCACAUUCAAGCAGUGGCUUUGGCCGGAGUCCAGGCUUCCCGACACCUGCUACAGCGGAGGAGAGCCCUGGGGAGCUGCCCCCGCUGCUUCCAGAAAGGACUGUUCAGACUUAGAUGGCACAGAAGAUGGGCUCUUGCGAGUCCAGGGGUGGUCCGGGUGACAGUGCGCCGUGGUGCAUGCCCAGACUGGUGCAGCUAGGAUGCAGGUGAUGGACUUGGCACCUGGCCACCGCUUGCCAGCGGGCAGGGCCCCCAAGCAGGAGCUGCAGUGUGUCCGGCUAUCUUAGGACCGACGGAGAAGAUGUUGUUUGUGUUGCCAGAGCGUCUGAGGUUUUCCAAGUGUGCUGGAGAUGACCCAGGUCAAAUCCAUCCACUGGAACUUGACCCCUCUCAGGCUGAGGACCCGCGCGCACAGUCACACUCUCAGAGCAGAUUCUGCAGACCCCCGUGCCUGCAGCCACACUGAUUCCGCACCCACAGCACGCGCUACUAACCACCUCCAGAACCAUUCAAGGAGGUUUCCAGCUGCUUCUCUAAGGCUGCAUGGUAGGGAAUGACUAUGCUGUCAACAAAGUUUCAAAUUAAAAGAUACCAAAGUUACUUUUAAAAUGUAUAAAAUACACACAAAGUAACAUUUGUUGUUACAAGUGUCCAUCCCAGGAGUCUGUAGAUCGGAGCUGAUCACAGGUGUUCAGUGGCCCCAGCGGAGUUUAGGGUCAUUACCACCACCCCAGAGCACAGGCCUGGUUGUGGGAGGACCACGUUCCUCUAGAAACAAAAUCCCACCCAUUCACCGAUAACCAUCACUCGUUCCCCAUUAAAAUGACCAAGCAAAUCAGCCCUAACACUAUGGGAUGUUUUUAAACUGAAAUUACAUCACAACCAGCCCAAUUUCUGUCUCAGCAUUUGAAAUGCAAGUUCCAUCACUGAUUGCUUUCACAAAAAUCAUCUCCGAAGAAGUCAUCUUGAUUAAAUCAAGGGACAAAUUACGUCAUGGAAAAUAUUUAUGAACAUUUUGCUAUUUGCCAAGCUAUCUUAACAAUAAAAAAAAAAAACAAAAA